Molecule: long non-coding RNA, 2569 nt
Filed under: Bemisia tabaci
Lineage: Eukaryota; Metazoa; Arthropoda; Insecta; Hemiptera; Aleyrodidae
Description: lncRNA ENSSSA1UGG012862
Source: RNAcentral
UGCACAGGUCCUCCCCGGUUCGGUGGGUGAAACUGGCUAUUUCAAUUUUAUCCCGGUCGUGAUUUCGGGAUUUUAUCGUAAAAAAUGGGAAAAUUCGGGAGAGGAACGGGCCCACGGUUGCUGAGCAACCGCCGUCGCAGCAUCGCCGUAUUGCGAUUAUCAGUUUGUUGUGUUUGAUGUGUUUGAUUGUGUUUCAUGGUGUGUUGAUGUGUUUGAAUGUGUUUCAUGAUGUGUUUUUUUGUGUUUGUCGCGUGUUGUGUGUCACAACAAACACAUCAAAUCUAUCAUAAAACACAAUCAAACACAACAAACACAUCAUGAAAUACAAUCAAAUACUAUACUAUUAAAACUAUAUUUCAAAUUUUAACUAUAUUUCAAAGUACUAAAUUGACUGCGUUCAGCAGAAAAGGAACCAAGCCACAUCGGCUUUUGCAAAAUUUAACUUGGUCAUUUCGUUUUUUAUUAGAGAACGUUGUGCGGAUUCCUUUGAAACGUUUAAAUAGUUCGCCCCGUACCAUGCAGGAAUUUCUCCGAAAUUUGCACAAAAAUCCGCACAACCGUUUUUAUGUAAAAUCAAAUAGCCCGAUUAAAUUUGACAAUAGCCGGUGUGGCUUGGUUCCUUUCUGCUUAUCUUGGUCCAAAUGAGGAUAAAAAUAGUCGCAAUACAAAGAGUUCGCUUAAGUCCCAAGGAUUUCUCAAAGUUCAAUUAUAUACGGUAUUAAUAAUGGUACCAAGACCAUUGGAAAAUCAAAUUUUCCCGCCAAACGGAAAAUUGGGGGCGAGCCCAUGAAACAUUGCGAGCACGUACCAUUGUAUCAAUCGUACAGAAACGAAGCAAAACCGCCACAAAAGGCGCAGCACUCCGUAUUGAGGGUGCGCCCAAAAUUUCUGUCUUUCCCAACUUGCGUGAAACAUGUCCGCGGCGCGAUUGAGCACCGGGGAGACCUCGGGCGGGCGAGCUCGCAGGUGGAAUCGAGAAACGUCAUCGAACGCGGGAGGGAAUCGCGUGCCGGGCGCGCGCGGAAUGUGUUUGUUAUUGUUGGCUUAUCAUUGUUUCGCCGGGUGCCUCGUGCGUUCGUCGGCUGCUCCGUCCGACUUCAAAGCAGCACGACAACAUGAUCAAAGAAUGCAAUCACACCCGGAAUAUUGUACAGCAUCAAUCAGGACGGCGAGUAGCUAUGAAGCUGUUUAGGAUCUCAAGAGUGCCAUAGAUGACAUCAUUGUAAAGUGUACUUCAGACAAUUUCUCUGCCUGACAUUUGCUCUACGUUCAAAAGAAGCCAUUCCUAGAAACUGGUAAGUUAAUUUCAUACUAUUGGUGGGAGGCACAGUUAUCUGUUCACUGGAGCAAAAAAAAAUUCAAUAUGUUAGCAGGCCUCUACUCUUUUGGUAAGAUGAAAAACAAAGUUAACACGUUAAAAACAAGGUUAUAGAAAGUACCUUGAGGGCUGGACACACGUUCAAAGUGGAGCUUCAAAGUGGUAAACGUUUAGUCAAGUGUUGAUUGAUGACCUUCAAAGGAGAGCGGCCCGCUCUCCUUUGAAGGUCAUCGAUGCUCUGCGGAUCUCAACGUCCAUCUAACCUCUCCAAGCGCGCGGCAAUUUAAGUGCGUCUACAAUAACAGCCCUCCCUAACCUGUGAAAUCUGGUGAAAUCGAAAUCAUUACAAAUUGUAAUUUUCUACCUUAUCAGAAGUUUAAAUAAUCCAGUUCCUUCCAGUGAAAAUUUCCUUCAGUGAUUACUCUAACAGGAUCCUUCAGACUUCUAUUCAGUGCAUCUUUGAUGUUCAGCACAUUGUCACCCAUUAACUCAACGCACCUUCACCUCUCUAAGCACGCGGCUAGUUCUAGUGAAAAAUUAUGGAAAUUAACCAAGGUCCUACCGUUUCAACUCUGAAACUAAAAAACCCAGUCUCAUUUGCAGGAAGACAGGUUAUCGCACAAGCUGGAAAUGCUGCUUCCAAAGCAAGGGUAAUUAUUAUUCCGCCUAAACCUGUCAUGGGUCCUCACCCAGCCCCAAAAAGUAUUGCUAAUAACGCCACAGGGAAAAGAACCAUGUAAAGCAACCAAGAAAACAGUUACGCAACCAGAAAGAGGAAAUGGCGAAAUACUACUGCGCCCAAGGUUGGUUCCUGGACGGCUCCGCAGACACUAGAGCUCAUAGGAGCUAUUAAAGAGAACCCGUGUCUUUACCAAGUAAAACAUCCGGAUUACCUGGAUCGGAGGAAGAAAGAUGACGCCUACAAUCGCAUCAGAGAAUUCAUCUCAGGGUUUAGAGAAAACACCACAGGUAAGUGAAAUUUACUUCAUCUGUGGGUGUGGGGUUCGAGUCUAGACUUCAAAUAUCAAAGCAAGAAAGUCUAUAAUUGGCCGAUCUAAACUCUGAUGGGCCGGUUUUCCAGUUCACCCCUGACGGAAAGCAAAAAAUAACAUCGAUAAGAGAAGACUGUAUUGACAAAAGCUGUUCAAUGAUCAAUGAAUCUUUUGAUCUUCUGUCAUUUGUUUAAUCUGUGCCCGAUUCCAAGGGAAAGCUGAGUAAUCUUUAACAAAAUUCAGUUAUAAUGAAAUUUUU